UAAUUUCAUAGGCAAACUGCUUGAAAAAGCAGGACGCAAAACUAGAGGGGCUUCCUCUUAUUUGAGAAGCUAGCCAGUUGCAUUC
RNAcentral lists this non-coding RNA (85 nucleotides) under Bacillus sp. UNCCL13. RNAcentral's name for it is "GEMM cis-regulatory element". It matches the Rfam family "c-di-GMP-I riboswitch aptamer". From Rfam's summary of the family: GEMM was predicted in a large-scale screen for bacterial structured RNA regulatory elements. RNAcentral also lists the same sequence under 1 other name. The record is from RNAcentral. Lineage: Bacteria; Bacillati; Bacillota; Bacilli; Caryophanales; Bacillaceae.